GAUGAACGCUGGCGGCGUGCCUAAUACAUGCAAGUCGAGCGAACAGACGAGGAGCUUGCUCCUUUGACGUUAGCGGCGGACGGGUGAGUAACACGUGGGUAACCUACCUAUAAGACUGGGAUAACUUCGGGAAACCGGAGCUAAUCCCGGAUAAUAUUUCGAACCGCAUGGUUCGAUAGUGAAAGAUGGCUUUGCUAUCACUUAUCGAUGGACCUGCGCCGUAUUAGCUGGUUGGUAAGUUAACGGCUUACCAAGGCAACGAUUCGUAGCCGACCUGAGAGGGUGAUCGGCCACACUGGAACGGAGACACGGUCCAGACUCCUACGGGAGGCAGCAGUAGGGAAUCUUCCGCAAUGGGCGAAAGCCUGACGGAGCAACGCCGCGUGAGUGAUGAAGGUCUUCGGAUCGUAAAACUCUGUUAUUAGGGAAGAACAAACGUGUAAGUAACUGUGCACGUCUUGACGGUACCUAAUCAGAAAGCCACGGCUAACUACGUG
This 497-nucleotide ribosomal RNA is filed under the name uncultured bacterium. Its description in RNAcentral is "partial 16S ribosomal RNA". It matches the Rfam family "Bacterial small subunit ribosomal RNA", at positions 28 to 507 of the family's 1533-position model. The record is from RNAcentral.